Molecule: long non-coding RNA, 1031 nt
Filed under: Aquilegia coerulea
Lineage: Eukaryota; Viridiplantae; Streptophyta; Magnoliopsida; Ranunculales; Ranunculaceae
Description: long non-coding RNA (ACOE_LNC001366)
Source: RNAcentral
UUCUCAAACAUUUAAGACAAAACUCCAAAAUAAAUGGUUACAACAACAACAUGUAUAUCAUCAACUUUGAAACAAUUACACCAAUGAAAUAAAAUGGAGUUCAAAACAAUUACGUUCUUGUGACAGUUCGCAACCAUCAAAAGCUAUCCUACAAAUCCCUUCCUUUGGUCUGCAACAAUAUUUGCUAGUGAUGAAACUUGAGGCACAUCUUCGGCCAAAUUACAAAUCCCUGCCCAAUCUGUCCCAAAGUCGUACACCAUUCAUCAUGAGGGCAUGGCAACAAAGCAUGUGGUAUAAACGUACACUCAAUGUAAACUAAGAAAUUUCCUUCUCCUAGGCAUCUUGCACCCCACUUGGAGUUUGGGUUAACAUCUUUCACCCUUCCCUUUGCGACGACUUGGAAAGGACAACCACCAAACAAACUAACCUCCUGAAACAAUAUUAUGGUAGUUUGUUUACAAAACAAUCAUAGUCCAUCAAAAAAAUUAGACUACUUCAGGGGGGAAAAAGAGUAAGCAAUGGAUAAAUCUAUAAGCAAAAUAUAAAGUACAUGGUAUAAUGAUGGUUCACAUAACCGGCAGAAAAGUUCACAAGCAACCAGGAAAAAACUUAGAAGGUCAAAUGAUUGUAAUAACAAUUUAUUCACUACAAUAGGCUGUGUUAUAAAAGAACUAAACACACUACAGCAAAUUUAAAGUCACUGACAUAUGUGCCAUUAACAUACAAGCAGUAGUAAAGUCUAUGUCUAUAACUUUGUGUGAUGGUAAGAUAGACAAAGGAAUACUAACAACUUUAUUUAUUUCACAAAUAAUCAAAAUCCUAAACAAAGUUUUUUUAAGAGGAAAGAUGAUAUCUACUGGCAUGCAUCUGGUUGCAUAUGUAAUUACAAAGCGUACCGUGUUAACUUCCACUUGCAUUUGUGAACUUGAACCAACAGGUAUGGGCGGUCUCCCACCUGAUCCUGUUUGAACUGCACGGUUGAGUUGCACUAUUUGAGCUUGAAGGCCAUCAAACUUCCCAUCUACUUGUUG